Molecule: ribosomal RNA, 301 nt
Filed under: uncultured bacterium
Lineage: Bacteria
Description: partial 16S ribosomal RNA
Rfam family: Bacterial small subunit ribosomal RNA
Source: RNAcentral
CAGCCACCGCGGUAAUACGAAGGGGGCUAGCGUUGUUCGGAUUUACUGGGCGUAAAGCGCACGUAGGCGGAUCGAUCAGUCAGGGGUGAAAUCCCAGAGCUCAACUCUGGAACUGCCUUUGAUACUGUCGAUCUGGAGUAUGGAAGAGGUGAGUGGAAUUCCGAGUGUAGAGGUGAAAUUCGUAGACAUUCGGAGGAACACCAGUGGCGAAGGCGGCUCACUGGUCCAUUACUGACGCUGAGGUGCGAAAGCGUGGGGAGCAAACAGGAUUAGAUACCCGCGUAGUCCCUGUCUCUUAUAC